UACGAAGGGUGCAAGCGUUACUCGGAAUUACUGGGCGUAAAGCGUGCGUAGGUGGUUUGUUAAGUCUGUUGUGAAAGCCCCGGGCUCAACCUGGGAAUGGCAAUGGAUACUGGCAAGCUAGAGUGCGGUAGAGGGUAGUGGAAUUCCCGGUGUAGUGGUGAAAUGCGUAGAGAUCGGGAGGAACACCAGUGGCGAAGGCGGCGACCUGGGUAGAUACUGACGCUGAGGCGCGAAAGCGUGGGGAUCAAACAGG
This 253-nucleotide ribosomal RNA is filed under the name uncultured bacterium. RNAcentral's name for it is "partial 16S ribosomal RNA". It matches the Rfam family "Bacterial small subunit ribosomal RNA", at positions 524 to 776 of the family's 1533-position model. The record is from RNAcentral.